This 1363-nucleotide ribosomal RNA is filed under the name Sphingobacterium alimentarium. RNAcentral describes it as "bacterial SSU rRNA". It matches the Rfam family "Bacterial small subunit ribosomal RNA", at positions 60 to 1416 of the family's 1533-position model. Lineage: Bacteria; Pseudomonadati; Bacteroidota; Sphingobacteriia; Sphingobacteriales; Sphingobacteriaceae. The record is from RNAcentral.
AGUCGGACGGGAUCUAGAUCUAAGCUUGCUUAGAUUUAGUGAGAGUGGCGCACGGGUGCGUAACGCGUGAGCAACCUACCCAUAUCAGGGGGAUAGCCCGGAGAAAUCCGGAUUAACACCGCAUGACACAACGACUCGGCAUCGAGAUGUUGUUAAAUAUUUAUAGGAUAUGGAUGGGCUCGCGUGACAUUAGCUAGUUGGUAAGGUAACGGCUUACCAAGGCUACGAUGUCUAGGGGCUCUGAGAGGAGAAUCCCCCACACUGGUACUGAGACACGGACCAGACUCCUACGGGAGGCAGCAGUAAGGAAUAUUGGUCAAUGGAGGGAACUCUGAACCAGCCAUGCCGCGUGCAGGAUGACUGCCCUAUGGGUUGUAAACUGCUUUUGUCCAGGAAUAACCACCACUACGUGUAGUGGCUUGAAUGUACUGGAAGAAUAAGGAUCGGCUAACUCCGUGCCAGCAGCCGCGGUAAUACGGAGGAUCCGAGCGUUAUCCGGAUUUAUUGGGUUUAAAGGGUGCGUAGGCGGCUCAUUAAGUCAGGGGUGAAAGACGGCAGCUCAACUGUCGCAGUGCCUUUGAUACUGAUGAGCUUGAAUGUGGUUGAAGAUGGCGGAAUGAGACAAGUAGCGGUGAAAUGCAUAGAUAUGUCUCAGAACUCCGAUUGCGAAGGCAGCUGUCUAAGUCAUUAUUGACGCUGAUGCACGAAAGCGUGGGGAUCGAACAGGAUUAGAUACCCUGGUAGUCCACGCCCUAAACGAUGAUAACUCGAUGUUGGCGAUACACAGUCAGCGUCUUAGCGAAAGCGUUAAGUUAUCCACCUGGGGAGUACGCCCGCAAGGGUGAAACUCAAAGGAAUUGACGGGGGCCCGCACAAGCGGAGGAGCAUGUGGUUUAAUUCGAUGAUACGCGAGGAACCUUACCCGGGCUUGAAAGUUACUGAAUUAUCUAGAGAUAGAUAAGUCCUUCGGGACAGGAAACUAGGUGCUGCAUGGCUGUCGUCAGCUCGUGCCGUGAGGUGUUGGGUUAAGUCCCGCAACGAGCGCAACCCCUAUGUUUAGUUGCCAGCAUGUAAUGAUGGGGACUCUAAACAGACUGCCAGCGUAAGCUGUGAGGAAGGUGGGGACGACGUCAAGUCAUCAUGGCCCUUACGUCCGGGGCUACACACGUGCUACAAUGGAUGGUACAGCGGGCAGCUACCUGGUAACAGGAUGCUAAUCUCGAAAAGCCAUUCACAGUUCGGAUUGAGGUCUGCAACUCGACCUCAUGAAGUUGGAUUCGCUAGUAAUCGCGUAUCAGCAAUGACGCGGUGAAUACGUUCCCGGGCCUUGUACACACCGCCCGUCAAGCCAUGAAAGUUGGGG